This 1120-nucleotide long non-coding RNA is filed under the name Olea europaea (common olive). RNAcentral describes it as "long non-coding RNA (OEUR_LNC006304)". Lineage: Eukaryota; Viridiplantae; Streptophyta; Magnoliopsida; Lamiales; Oleaceae. The record is from RNAcentral.
UCUACGGAUGUGAUACCAAUACAAACUCCAAUCAUUCAUCUUCUUAACGUUCUCACACCAAUUUCUCUGGACAUUUAUGCCAAUCCCCAUUUGCUUCCCCAAAAAUAUAUUUGUUUCUCCUUCACCAUCUGGUCUCAAUUCCAGAUUUCAUUUGCCACUGUCAUACAGAUACCCUACAGUUGCAGUCACCCAAUCGCCAUUCGGCUUUCGAGCUUCAGAUUCCAGUCGGAGCUCCUCAUCUUCUCUCAAAUGUAAGUAAAAAUAAAGACAACAUUGCAAGAUUUUUUUUUUUUUAAAAUUAUGAAAGGGAAUCUAUUCAUUGUUUGGAGGGUGAUUUUAUGAUUUCAUGCUCUUCAGUUUUUAGCUUGAUUGACUUGCUGUAGUUUUGAUUUGAUUGAUGUUUAUUGUUUCGAUUUCGUGUUGGAAGGUAGACGUUGUUUCCCCAUACUAAUUUAUAAUGCAGAAUUUUUAUUUUUUCUGUUAUUAGCCCAGACAUUUCACUAGCUCCUGUUCUUCUUUACAUUUUUUUGUUGUGAUUUUACGGAAGAUUUUGUUGAAAUAUCGAGAACUUGAACAUAAAAUAUGUUACGAAGAAUACUGAAUAAAUGGCAGGAGUGUGAAGAACUCGGUUUUUUUCUUCAUUAACAACCUAAAAAUAUGAAGCGUUAAUCUUGCUCAUAAAGAAAGCAAGAAAAACUCCCACCAUGGCAAACUUUGAAAACUGAUCUAAUUUAUUAAAACUCUUACUGAUUAUAAAAUAAUAAUAAUAAAGAAAGAUAAAAAUGAUGGCCAUUAAGCCAUAUCCUCCACUACACCCAAUAACAUCUGUAUAUCUAUGAUAAUUUCAAGUAUCUGCAGCGUUCUUUUGUGACAUUGAAAGAUACAAUGAAAACAAUAGUUGAUAGAGAGGUCUUGGUAACAAUAGACACUAUUAAUGAAGAAUUAAAGGUAAAAUAUUGGUCAUAAAACAAUCUAAGUUUUGGAUAAUCUGUAAAUUUUGAGAGCUUUUAUAUUAUUACAGGCACCUAAAAGAAAAAAUUGGAGUCAUAUUAUAUACGUAGACUAAAGAUGGUGUAAUGUGUACCUGUGUGCUUUUUAGUGCCCUAAGAAAAGGGGAAAA